RNAcentral lists this ribosomal RNA (272 nucleotides) under uncultured bacterium. RNAcentral describes it as "partial 16S ribosomal RNA". It matches the Rfam family "Bacterial small subunit ribosomal RNA", at positions 524 to 794 of the family's 1533-position model. The record is from RNAcentral.
UACGAGUGCCCCCGAGCGUUAUCCGGAAUCACUGGGCGUAAAGGGCGCGUAGGUGGCUUGGUAAGCGUGUGGUGAAAGUCCGGGGCUCAACCCCGGAUCUGCCGUGCGAACUGCUGAGCUCGAGCAAUGUAGAGGCAGGUGGAAUUUCGGGUGUAGCGGUGGAAUGCGUAGAUAUCCGAAAGAACACCAGUGGCGAAGGCGGCCUGCUGGGCAUUAGCUGACACUGAGGCGCGGCAGCGUGGGGAGCAAACAGGAUUAGAUACCCCUGUAGU